GACGAACGCUGGCGGCAUGCCUAAUACAUGCAAGUCGAGCGAACAGAUGAAGUGCUUGCACUUCUGACGCUAGCGGCGAACGGGUGAGUAACACGUAAGGAAUCUGCCUAUAAGCGGGGGGUAACAUUCGGAAACGGGUGCUAAUACCGCAUAAUAUCUUCUUCCGCAUGGAAGAAGAUUGAAAGACGGCUCUGCUGUCACUUAUAGAUGACCUUGCGGUGCAUUAGUUAGUUGGUGGGGUAACGGCCUACCAAGACGAUGAUGCAUAGCCGACCUGAGAGGGUGAUCGGCCACAAUGGGACUGAGACACGGCCCAAACUCUUACGGGAGGCAGCAGUAGGGAAUCUUCCGCAAUGGGCGAAAGCCUGACGGAGCAAUGCCGCGUGAGUGAAGAAGGCCUUCGGGUCGUAAAACUCUGUUAUAAGAGAAGAACAAAUUGUAGAGUAACUGCUACAGUCUUGACGGUAUCUUAUCAGAAAGCCACGGCUAACUACGUGCCAGCCGCCGCCGUAA
RNAcentral lists this ribosomal RNA (513 nucleotides) under uncultured bacterium. RNAcentral describes it as "partial 16S ribosomal RNA". It matches the Rfam family "Bacterial small subunit ribosomal RNA", at positions 28 to 523 of the family's 1533-position model. The record is from RNAcentral.